This is a non-coding RNA of Xyrichtys novacula (pearly razorfish), 3525 nucleotides long. NCBI's taxonomy places the organism in Eukaryota, Metazoa, Chordata, Actinopteri, Labriformes, Labridae. The record is from the annotation of a GenBank genome assembly.
UCCCUCCAUCCUCAUGCCAAAGUGUCCGUGGGCAAAACACUCAGCCCCAAACUGCACAAGGCGGCUGUGCCAGCUAUGUGAGUGGGAUUAAUUGGUACCAAUAGGCACUUUAAAUGGCUCCUCCUGCCAUGUCUGUUUGAGUGGGUGAAUAUGACAAGUAUGGAUUAUGUGCCGUUAGUGGUCAGAAGACCAGAUUCCCUCCUGUAUCUCAGUUUAUUACUGAGAUACAUCGAAGUCCAGAAUAAAUGCGACAGUGUGCAAAAAUGUUUAGAUACUAGUGUCCACAAAACCUUUCUCACACUCUUUGCCACCUUUUUUAUUGGCAGCUAUGCCAAAAAUGUGUCAUGUACAUGCUGUCUCGUGAAGGAGAAUCUCCCCCUCCUUGUCUCCCUCACUUCCCUUCUUCGCUGUCUUUCCCACCAACCAUUACCUUUUUUUUUUUUUUCACAGGAGACUCUUUUCUCUUCAACCGUAUUAUUUUCUCUGUCCUAACAUCUUUCCCUACCUGACUUCCAUCUGUCUACCUGACCCAUCUGUCUCUGAGUAAAGCAGUGAUACUCCUCUGCCUUCAGCACAACAACCAGCUGAGUAUAGAGCUGAACUCCUCUGAAAAACCCUUAGCAGAGUGACGUCGACCCCCAAAGGGCUGAUGUCUGCUUUCACUCACUCUUCAAUUAUGCAUUUAUAAGAUCAUUCAUAAAGAAUCAGUAUUACUACAUCCUGUUUUAUUUGAGCCAAUAAAAAUGUCGUUUAGUCCUGAACACUGCAUUACAAACUCCCAGGCCAGGUCCUUGCCAGGCGCAUAACUGUAACAAGAAAUGCACCGCUGAGCAACAGGGCUUAUGUUGCCAAUUUAAACCAAAUGAAAGAGCCCAUCACCAUAAAACCAAAACAUAUGGAUCCCAUAAUCAUAAUCAAAUUAUACAGACUAUAUGGAGGAUUUGAUUGGCUGUAAAGUCCAAUCGGUUGGUUGGUUGGUUGGGGUUUUUUUUAUUUUAUCUUAUAUUUUCUAAGUUUGGACAGGAACAUCAAAACACAACCAUGGAAUGAUCUCUCAAUUAAUUACAUUGAUUUGUAACAGCAUGGCAACAUGGCUGGAUAUAAUAGGAGCACCCACAAGAGGCUGAGUCUAUGGUUCAACAACUUCAAACUAUUGUUCCUCAGUGUAAAAUUGUGUAUUUCAUCAUCUACCGAACAAGAUAAAAAUUGAAAAUAUUUCAGAUACUCAAAGACACCUUUGUACAAAACUAUGACUGGAUGGCUGAGAUCCUCGGGCCCCUAAGUGGCAGGGCUUUAAAAACAGGCCUGACUCUGCAGUUGAAACUUCUGCAUGGACUCGAACUCAAUUUCACAAAGAAAAUAAAAAAAAAAUCAAAAGGCAAAACCCAACUAAAGACACUGUGGGGAAAAGAAUCACAAGGAGACAAUUGGGGACACAAGCAUAUGCACACAUCGACAUACAAUGAACCAACAAGGACAGAGGGGAAGACAGGGACUAUAGACACACUGGGUAACGAGCAACAGGUGAGGCAAACGAGACACAGGUGAAACUUAUGGGUGAUUAACGAAGGAGGGAAAACUAGGGAAGUAAAACCAGAGUAGAAACACAAGGAAUCAGCUACUACAAAAUAAAACAUUGUAUAGUACAUCUAAACUUGUUUGAAACUGGUAUAGUAGUGUUUCUCUUUUCAAAUUUGGGUUAAAUGGUUAAACUUUGACUUUAUAUCUUCACCUAAAGUUGCUCAUGCAAUAGUGAAACAGGGUCAACUCGUAUGUUUUUGUGACAGAAAUCAACCUUACAAUCUACGGUAUCAUUAAUCAAAUGAAUGCCACUGAUGUGCACAGGAGUUAUGCAUCAUAAAUCUGAUAAAAAAUGUCAAAGUCUUCAAUAAAACGUUACAUUUCUACUUUUCUUAUCGAUAAAUAAGUCUGUAGCUAUACAUGCUUCGCACCUAACUCAACCUCUCCUCCCCUCUCAGCUGUGGUCCCAUGCCCAGACCGGCACGGCUGUGAUCCAGUCCUAUAGGAGAAUAAGGAGACAGUUCACGGCCAAGCUGAAGUCAUCGGCCAGGCAUCCGUCAGAACAACCAGCAGAAACAAUGAGCCCUUCUGUCCCGCUAACACAAGGUUGGUUUUAGACAAGAGGGCCCGAGAGCGCUGAGAUGGACCGGCAGAGGCAAUGGAACUGACAGCUAGAGUUUUGACCUUUGUACCGUAACACCUCCUUUUCCUCUGUAGGGAUUAGGAGUAUGUUUUAUGAAUAUUCCAGCCCCUCCUCACAUCCAUCAGUUAAAGUUGCCUGUUGAAACUGUAUCAUUCUGGCCCUGAACACCACUUCCUCAAGAAAAAAAGACUCUCAGGAUUGUGCCUUUUCUCUCAGUAGCCGGACAAUACCACACAUACACACUCACACACAAAAAUACACAUCUCCCAGAGCGCUGAGCAAGGGUUUACAGAGAUAAGUGAAAGGCUGAUCUCAAAAGUUGCAGCCCAAAUGCUGGACAAUGAAAAGUUUCCUUUGGAUGUGCCGCCAGUAGCCAGAGGAGCGGAGAGACGGAGGUCAUGUCAGUCCUUGAUAGCCUGCUGUUUUAUUCUCCUCUCUCCAGAGUCACAGUCACAGUUAAUCUCAGCCCUGCGCCCCGCUGUGCCUGACCCCAACCUGCCACCUCUGUCUCCAUGCCCACUAUGUUCCCAUGGCAACAAAGGCCGACCAUGCGGCACACACAUACACACACACACGCAAGCCUAAAGCAAUGCACUCAGAGAAUGUGAAGUUUGAGAAAAUGAACUUGGGACUUUAACAGCAUAUCGAAACUGUUCAAAUGUGGUGUGGCUGUAGGCAGAACAGUCAGAGAUGGCUGUACCAACCUCUGUUGUCUACUGUACCCCCCUCCCUCUCUCUUCCAGAGAAACAAUGGUCAAAUCCAUAGGCCGCAAAUACACAGAAAAACAAAGUGGCCUGUGUGUUUCUCUCCCUCUUUCAAUCAGACACGAGUAAGAAGAUACAAAGAAAGCACUGAGUAAACCAUACACACACAAACACACACACACACUCACACACAUCACAACAGAGACACAAACACACACACUGCAGCGGGGUUGUGAUCAUGGAUUCUGUGCUGUAGGAGGAUCGGCGUUGUUGGGCAUGACGAGUCCAUCUGCCUCUCACAUUAAUCACACUGAGGGCUCCAUCAAACUUCGACGGAGACUUUUCUGGAACUAAAUCAGCUCUGUGGUUCAACUCGAUCUCUGUGCUUUUGUUUAUGUGUCUGUUUACGCAGGGAAACAUUGGUGGAGGUCUCAUGCAUGCUCAGUGGGUUUGUUUAAGUGAAUGGGUGGGUGUUGUGAGUACAUUUGCAUUGCAAGCAUGUGUUUCAGAGCGAAGGCUCUGCGUCAGCACUGACUGCAGUGUUUGAACAGAGCUGAAGGAAUUUUUCACUCAACAUUUGACUCUCACACACACUGACUCAGUCAGUACAUGGGUUUCACAUGCAGGGCAGGGUAAAACGGUCAAACCCCUCCUCU